CCCUAACAUACGAACAGUUGCCCCCAAAAUCCAACUCCAGCUAAUUACCCCAACAAAAGAAGAAGAUUAAAUUAUGAAGAAGGGAAAAAAUAAUUAUGUUUGGGUCCAAAUAAAUGAGAAUAGGAACUCUUGGUAGCCUGUUAGCAUCUGGUCAAAAUUGUUCCAGCCUUUGGCCAAUAAGAGUUUUGUUCGAGCCGUUUCCACUCUGGAUAUACUCCUGUAUGCUCGAGUGGUAAGAUGAGUAAUAGGGAAUGUAAUGCUGAAUAAGUGCUCUUGAGUUUAAUGUUUGUCUCUUGUUCUGAUCCUUCGGUGAAUAACAUACGAUUCAAAAGCGGAUAAAACAGAUACACACUCGGGAGUUUCAUAAAGAAAGAUAUGUUAUACAAUGUAUUCAAACGUUGAUCGAACAUUCAGGAUUGGUACAAUACUAGUGGAAUUAAGCUUGUCUGAGUGAGGGAAUAUCACUAAUCAAAUAGCUAAUGCACAGCCAACUAAGUGAACAGGGAAGGGGGGCAAUAUCGAUAUCAAUAUCAAUUCCUCUCACUUGGUAAAAUUAUAACGUGACAGAAACAGAAUGGCCAACUAUGAAUAACCAGGAAUACGAAAAGAAAUACUAAUGAAUAAUAUUCAUCAGCCCGUGAAAAAUAAAAAAUAAAAAAUAAAGGAGAUUCUGGAAAACCACACGUAGGAGACAAGUAAACAGAUUAUACUUUCCAGCUUUCACUCCACAACUAUAUACUUUAUGGAUAUCAUAUAGUAAAGAGGAAUGGUGAAAACAUUUUCUUUUCGGGUUGCAGAGUUAAGUUUCACAGACCCACCGGGAUUAGCACUCGCCCUCCACCCUUGGUCUUAAGGAACAUGGCAUGUCAUUAGGUUCAAAAGCUAUUUGAAGGGAGAAACAUGUAAAGCAUUUGUAACCUUACUUACCAAAAGAAAGUAACGAAAAUAUCUUAGCGCUGAUUUACUUAUGUGACAAGAGUAUUAUGUGUCAGGAAAAAAAAAAUGGUAGAAGGCUAGAAGCUUUCGAAGAGGAACAAAAAAGUAAGAAGAAAGAGAACAUACAAGCAUAUCUUCU
RNAcentral lists this long non-coding RNA (1075 nucleotides) under Malus domestica (apple). Its description in RNAcentral is "long non-coding RNA (MDOM_LNC000772)". Lineage: Eukaryota; Viridiplantae; Streptophyta; Magnoliopsida; Rosales; Rosaceae. The record is from RNAcentral.